GGAAAGGUGAAAAGAACCCCGAACAGGGGAGUGAAAUAGAACCUGAAACCAUACGCUUACAACCGGUCGGAGCAGCUUCGUGCUGUGACGGCGUGCCUAUUGAAUAAUGAGCCUACGAGUUACUAAUCACUGGCGAGGUUAAGUGCACGGAUGCACGGAGCCGAAGCGAAAGCGAGUCUGAACAGGGCGUUUAGUCAGUGGUUGUAGACGCGAAACCUUGCGAUCUACCCUUGAGCAGGUUGAAGGUUGGGUAAAACCAACUGGAGGACCGAACGAAUAAGCGUUGAAAAGCUUCUCGAUGACUUGAGGGUAGGGGUGAAAGGCUAAUCAAGCUGGGAAAUAGCUCGUACUCCCCGAAAUGCCUUUAGGGGCAGCGUUGUAAUUAAGAGUCUACUGGAGGUAGAGCUACUGAUUGGAUGCGGGGGCUUCACCGCCUACCAAAUCCUGACAAACUCCGAAUGCCAGUAGUAUGAUUUACAGCAGUGAGCGACCGGGUGCUAAUGUCCGGUCACAAAAGAGGAACAACUCAGACCAGCAACUAAGGUCCCCAAGAGUAUGCUAAGUUGAUCUAACGAUGUUUUGUUGCAGAGACAGCUAGGAUGUUAGCUUGGAAGCAGCUAUUCAUUCAAAGAGUGCGUAACAGCUCACUAGUCGAGCGGCAAAGCGUGGAUAAUAAACGGGCAUCAAGUAUACCACCGAAGUUCUGGGCACGAAAGUGCGGUAGGGGAGCAUUCCAUUCCGCGUUGAAGCCGAACCGUGAGGUUUGGUGGAGUGUAUGGAAAAGCAAAUGUAGGCAUGAGUAACGAUAAUGCGGGAGAGUAACCCGCACACCGCAAGACCAAGGUUUCCUGAUCAACGCUAAUCGGAUCAGGGUUAGUCGGGUCCUAAGGGUAAGCCGAACGGUGAUCUCGAUGGACAAUCGGUUAAUAUUCCGAUACUAACAUAUACCUCGAUGGAGAGACGAAGGAACGUAAGUGCCGCCACCUGACGGAAUAGGUGGUUAAAGGGCGUAGGUAUAGGGGCAGAUUAAGAGUUAGUCCUUGCUGAAACCUGACAGUACAGAGAGCCUACGGGCAAUUUGAUAGUGCACCCAAGUCGACUUCCGAGAAAAUCUUCUAAGUUAUAGUAUAUGUCACCCGUACCGUAAACCGACACAGGUGGUCGAGGAGAGUAUCCUAAGGUGCUCGAGUGAAUCACGGUUAAGGAACUAGGCAAAUUAACCCCGUAACUUCGGGAAAAGGGGUCCCUAUGAAAGUAGGGCGCAGCGAAGAGGUCCAGGCGACUGUUUAUCAAAAACACAGGGCUCUGCAAAUUCGAAAGAAGACGUAUAGGGCCUGACACCUGCCCGGUGCUGGAAGGUUAAGAGGGGAUGUCAUCGCAAGAGAAGCAUUGAAUCGAAGCCCCAGUAAACGGCGGCCGUAACUAUAACGGUCCUAAGGUAGCGAAAUUCCUUGUCGGGUAAGUUCCGACCUGCACGAAUGGUGUAACGAUCUGGACACUGUCUCAACCGUGAGCUCGGUGAAAUUGUAGUCCCGGUGAUGAUGCCGGGUACCCGCAACGGGACGAAAAGACCCCGUGAACCUUUACUAUAGCUUAACGCUGAAUUUGGGUACACAAUGUGUAGGAUAGGC
RNAcentral lists this ribosomal RNA (1631 nucleotides) under human metagenome. RNAcentral's name for it is "bacterial LSU rRNA". It matches the Rfam family "Bacterial large subunit ribosomal RNA", at positions 508 to 2148 of the family's 2925-position model. The record is from RNAcentral.